UCGAACGGGAACCUUUAUUUCGGUAAAGGAGAGAGUGGCAAACGGGUGAGUAACACGUAGGCAACCUGCCGACAGGAUGGGGACAACAUUCCGAAAGGAAUGCUAAUACCGAAUGGAGUCCGAGGAUGGCAUCAUCCUUGGAUAAAAGAUGGCCUCUGAAUAUGCUAUCGCCUGUCGAUGGGCCUGCGUCUGAUUAGCCAGUUGGCGGGGUAACGGCCCACCAAAGCGACGAUCAGUAGCCGGUCUGAGAGGAUGAACGGCCACAUUGGGACUGAGACACGGCCCAGACUCCUACGGGAGGCAGCAGUGGGGAAUCUUCCACAAUGGGCGAAAGCCUGAUGGAGCAACGCCGCGUGAGUGAAGAAGGUCUUCGGAUCGUAAAGCUCUGUUGCACGGGACGAAAACUGGGUUUGAAAACAUUGAACCUGGGUGACGGUACCGAGCGAGGAAGCCACGGCUAACUACGUGCCAGCAGCCGCGGUAAUACGUAGGUGGCGAGCGUUGUCCGGAAUUAUUGGGCGUAAAGGGAGCGCAGGCGGACAUAUAAGUCCAUCUUAAAAGUGCGGGGCUCAACCCCGUGAGGGGAUGGAAACUGUAUGCCUUGAGUGCAGGAGAGGAAAGCGGAAUUCCCAGUGUAGCGGUGAAAUGCGUAGAUAUUGGGAGGAACACCAGUGGCGAAGGCGGCUUUCUGGACUGUAACUGACGCUGAGGCUCGAAAGCCAGGGGAGCGAACGGGAUU
This 739-nucleotide ribosomal RNA is filed under the name uncultured Selenomonas sp. RNAcentral's name for it is "bacterial SSU rRNA". It matches the Rfam family "Bacterial small subunit ribosomal RNA", at positions 62 to 779 of the family's 1533-position model. The record is from RNAcentral. Lineage: Bacteria; Bacillati; Bacillota; Negativicutes; Selenomonadales; Selenomonadaceae.